This 2282-nucleotide long non-coding RNA is filed under the name Hordeum vulgare. RNAcentral's name for it is "long non-coding RNA (HVUL_LNC003830)". The record is from RNAcentral. Lineage: Eukaryota; Viridiplantae; Streptophyta; Magnoliopsida; Poales; Poaceae.
CACAAGCAUUUCUAUUAAUGGAUAUAAGAGUCUUACAAGACGAACUACAAGGGUGAUGGCAGCGGAAAAGCUCUAUCUAAGGCAGCAUGGUCCUGGUGCGGCUCCAAUCCACAAGGAUCUGACUAGGUUACUCUUCUAGCUCGCGAAAGCUUUGGUUCCUUGUUGACGGAGGACGGAUCCUUACGUGAACCUGGCCAUGUUAAAAGCCGCUGAGUACUUUUGAAUGUACUCGCAAACAAACCAACGAACAUAUACACUAAGCAAAGCAAUCUAUGGCAUUCAAGCAUGCACUUAUUAUUAGAGCAACAUUACUUAUCAUGGCAUAGCUUACCUAUCUAGCAGAAUAAAAUAUCAUGAUAUAAUAGGAUUAACCAACAAGAUAACUACUAAAGUAAAUACGAUAAGGUAAAGCAUAUUAAGUAAAUAAUUUAUACUCCGAAUAUUCUCACGAUCCAAUCAGAAUCUGAUCCAAAUCCAAUCCAACUCAUGUGGUCAUCCGAGCACUCAUCUCAUAGCCAUCCAAUGGCUAACAUGUCAUAUACCUAAGAUCUUCCGAUGUCUGCACAAGAUGAGUUCUUCCAUCAUUAUUUCACUGAUACGGUUGACCACCUACUGAGGUCUGGACGGUCUGUCCAAUACCAUGGACGCGGCUAUUCGAAUAGAUUUGACACUCUGCAGAGGUUGCACACUUUACCCACACCAUGGAGCACUGACCUCGUGAUCCCAUUCGUGUGGACUAGUGUUGCUCCAACGAAAUUGUCAGAACCGUGACUCUUUCAUCGUACCACCAGCAUUCAUCCUCCGCUGGAGUCCUGCCCUGGGUGGCCCUGUGUCCUCAUGACACCUGCCACCGUCGUAGCCAAACUAAACUGUUCCAAACGGGGACGUGCGCACAAAACAAUUCGACUGACUCAUAGGGUUAUCACUGCCUACCUGAUCAGGGUAGCACGCGUGCAUAACCUUCCCUCUUCGGAAGUACCGGUGAAAGAGCACGCGAUCAGACCAGGUCACGACCGUCCCAUACCGGCAAAUGUGGUUGCACGGAUAAGCCCGGACAGGUGACUCUAGAUCAACAGACUACAUUUAGUGUUAGCUAGUAUUUGAUAAGCAUGGUAGUUUAUCACAAUAACUUAACAUGAUGAUAACUAUGUAUAAGAUAGCAUAGGUAAAAACACAACCACCUAUCUCCAUAUCACCAUGAGUCAAUAAUAAGGUAGGAUCUAAAGGGAAAGUUAUUACUUUACAAGUUCUAGCUGUAAAUUAGACCCCCGGAACCCUUGCAUAAAACCAGCAAAUAAACCGGUAGCCACCAGAAUGGUCUUUACAACACACAUCUGGGACAUUACCGGAAUAACUCAACCCCAUCUCAAGACGGCUGGAAAGUAGUUCAUAGCAUGAGGCCGUGUUGAUAAAGAGAAUGUUGUAGUUCCCUAUGACGGUAGAGGAACAACUUAGAGCAUAGGGUCACUGCCACGGAAUGAAAUUCAACAGUUGCCCGCGAUGGCCGAAAAGCAGCUCAAAACACGGGCCAACUGUUCACAAGAGAAAUAUAAAGUCAGCAUCCACCCCGGACGGCCGAAAGCAACUCAGGCUGAGUCGUGGUGCCGUCACUGAAGAAAGUGCGAGCAAGGGUUCGUCAACAUCUCAUAUAGCACACCACAUUGCACUCGGACAUAAGAAUUUUAAAGUAAAUAUGCAAGAACAUCAUAGAGAAAAUAUUGAGGGCAUAUAUCAGAUGGUCGGCUUGCUUGGGGUUGAAGAAUACUCUCAGAAGAGGUGCGGAGAGUCCACGGAACGAUAUGCCAGAACAGUUCUCUCUCGGAGAGGGAUGAUUGGAUGGCAAGCGUAACAUGGUCAUUUUCACAAUAGGAACACAUUGUGAAAAUGAUACCAAAAGAACGGGCUUGACGAGACGAAGAUGUGGGCGUUGGUUUCACCAGAAUCGGAGCGUGGGUCAAAAAUUUAUAGCCGUUCGAAGUUUAGGGACUAUUCUGCAAAUAAAAUAUUCACACACACGUCCCUAUGGUUGACCCGAAAGAUCACUCGGCUUAAAUAUGUUUUCACAAAAGGAAAAUGUAAACUUAGCCACAGUACCAGGAAAUAUGCUUUCUCCGACUGAAAGCGUGUUUACUGUAGUGCGCUUCCACUUAAACAACACGGCCCCGGGAGUCGACUGGGUUGUUUGACUGACGAGCGGGGCCAAGGGGAGGCGGGGCCCGCCUCGCCACGUAAUCUCCUUCUUCCUCCCGUUCGUGACAGAGGGAAGCAGCAGAGGGGCCAAG